UUCCUCAUUUCUUACAUUUGGAUUGACACGAUUUGCCCUACACCGUGUCUACAACGCCGCAACAGCUUGGGACUGACUACUGGAUGUGUUACAUCGCUUCUAAUGAUUGGAAAAUCCGUUUGUACUUCGUGUCAGAAACCGCGCGAGCGCUUGGAGUACAUCUGUAUGUCAGAAAUAUACCGGGGCAUCACUUUACUGUCCUCAUCCACUGUAGAUAAUAUAUACAGUAUAUAAUGGGUUCUAUAUAGUUUUUUAUCGAGUCGCGCCGCACCACUCCACUCGCGUCCGAGGAAGACACGGAAGCAGCGGGGCAGCGCCGCAGGUUUUUCCCGGGGAUGAACCCGCCAGAGUGGGAGAGCUCCGGAGAACAUCUGCGCUGUGUGUCGAUGCACCUUACGAGAGAAUAAGACCAGCAAGCAAGGCAACUGCAAUGAAGCAUCAAGAAAGACAUGAGCAGGCCAGCCACCCUGAGAUUGAUAAUUCAUGAGAAGACAUUUCUGUCACUAACAAAAUGGAUGGUGAGCAAAGGUGGUGGCCACGUUUUGGAGCAGCACCUGGGUUUUGCAGAUGGCUAUGCAUUCUUUGGCUGUUUGUCUUUUCCCC
Onychostoma macrolepis is the source of this 603-nucleotide long non-coding RNA. RefSeq lists it as uncharacterized. The transcript is spliced from 3 exons. The record is from RefSeq and is a predicted model, not a curated record. NCBI's taxonomy places the organism in Eukaryota, Metazoa, Chordata, Actinopteri, Cypriniformes, Cyprinidae.